RNAcentral lists this ribosomal RNA (638 nucleotides) under uncultured bacterium. RNAcentral's name for it is "bacterial SSU rRNA". It matches the Rfam family "Bacterial small subunit ribosomal RNA", at positions 65 to 692 of the family's 1533-position model. The record is from RNAcentral.
AACGGUAACAGGAAGAAGCUUGCUUCUUUGCUGACGAGUGGCGGAUGGGUGAGUAAUGUCUGGGAAACUGCCUGAUGGAGGGGGAUAACUACUGGAAACGGUAGCUAAUACCGCAUAACGUCGCAAGACCAAAGAGGGGGACCUUCGGGCCUCUUGCCAUCGGAUGUGCCCAGAUGGGAUUAGCUAGUAGGUGGGAUAACGGCUCACCUAGGCGACGAUCCCUAGCUGGUCUGAGAGGAUGACCAGCCACACUGGAACUGAGACACGGUCCAGACUCCUACGGGAGGCAGCAGUGGGGAAUAUUGCACAAUGGGCGCAAGCCUGAUGCAGCCAUGCCGCGUGUAUGAAGAAGGCCUUCGGGUUGUAAAGUACUUUCAGCGGGGAGGAAGGGAGUAAAGUUAAUACCUUUGCUCAUUGACGUUACCCGCAGAAGAAGCACCGGCUAACUCCGUGCCAGCAGCCGCGGUAAUACGGAGGGUGCAAGCGUUAAUCGGAAUUACUGGGCGUAAAGCGCACGCAGGCGGUUUGUUAAGUCAGAUGUGAAAUCCCCGGGCUCAACCUGGGAACUGCAUCUGAUACUGGCAAGCUUGAGUCUCGUAGAGGGGGGUAGAAUUCCAGGUGUAGCGGUGAAAUGCGUA